AGUGAGCGCUGGCGGCAGGCCUAACACAUGCAAGUCGAACGGCAGCACAAGAGAGCUUGCUCUCUGGGUGGCGAGUGGCGGACGGGUGAGGAAUGCAUCGGAAUCUGCCCAUUUGUGGGGGAUAACCUCGGGAAACCGGGACUAAUACCGCAUACGGCCUACGGGUGAAAGCAGGGGAUCUUCGGACCUUGCGCAGAUGGAUGAGCCGAUGCCGGAUUAGCUAGUUGGAGGGGUAAAGGCCCACCAAGGCGACGAUCCGUAGCUGGUCUGAGAGGAUGAUCAGCCACACUGGGACUGAGACACGGCCCAGACUCCUACGGGAGGCAGCAGUGGGGAAUAUUGGACAAUGGGCGCAAGCCUGAUCCAGCCAUGCCGCGUGUGUGAAGAAGGCCUUCGGGUUGUAAAGCACUUUUGUUGGGAAAGAAAAGCAGCCGGUUAAUACCCGGUUGUCAUGACGGUACCCAAAGAAUAAGCACCGGCUAACUUCGUG
Molecule: ribosomal RNA, 490 nt
Filed under: uncultured bacterium
Lineage: Bacteria
Description: partial 16S ribosomal RNA
Rfam family: Bacterial small subunit ribosomal RNA
Source: RNAcentral